GACAUGGCUCAGAUUGAACGCUGGCGGCAGGCUUAACACAUGCAAGUCGAACGGUAACAGGAGAGAGCUUGCUUUCUUGCUGACGAGUGGCGGACGGGUGAGUAAUGCUUGGGAAUCUGGCUUAUGGAGGGGGAUAACGACGGGAAACUGUCGCUAAUACCGCGUAGAGUCGAGAGACGAAAGUGCGGGACCGCAAGGCCGCAUGCCAUAGGAUGAGCCCAAGUGGGAUUAGGUAG
This 236-nucleotide ribosomal RNA is filed under the name uncultured bacterium. Its description in RNAcentral is "partial 16S ribosomal RNA". It matches the Rfam family "Bacterial small subunit ribosomal RNA", at positions 16 to 248 of the family's 1533-position model. The record is from RNAcentral.